Molecule: long non-coding RNA, 842 nt
Organism: Camelus dromedarius (Arabian camel)
Lineage: Eukaryota; Metazoa; Chordata; Mammalia; Artiodactyla; Camelidae
Exons: 3
Source: RefSeq, a predicted model, not a curated record
GCGCCCAGUGCCUGGGGCACGGAUGGGCUGGGCUCUGAAGUGGAAUCUGAAGCCACACAAGCGCCAGAAGAAAACGGGUGCCUCCCUCCCUGACCUCAGGGCAGAGAAGAGCUUCCUGACCCGUAGAGAGAAAAGCACAGGCCCCAGAUGGCGCCACCUGCGCUAAAGCCGUGACCCACACCCAGCCCCUCCCCCCUGCCCGGACUUAACUGCACCUAAGCCUCCUGGAAAUGCGAUAUGCGAUCUGGUCAACCGGCAGGAGUUCCCGGUCAGCUCUGAGGAGAUUUGGUGGCAGCAGUGGGAUCAAAAGAAACUUCCAGCAGCUUGGGGACAGGGAGACACGCAAUCAUGGUACCAUCAGCCUCUUUUCGAGUUCACUGCCUCUCACUGUCUCCAGGGGCCACGCCCCUGCAGCGCAGGUCCUGCCUGUCCGAAAGCCUCGGGCUCUGAGAGCUGUUGACAAGUCAGUGACUCCAUGCUUCCUGGCUGUUCGAAGCCUGAACACCGUCCGUAGCAUGUUCAGGUGGACUCCAAGUGGUUCAGGGCCACGGGCCUUUGUCAGCCUUCUUCGGCAUCUCCCAAGUGCUGCACUGAGAAGGGAGCAGCGUCCCACCCCUGUUACAAGAUGCAGGUGCUGGCUGUGCUCAGUCACCAAAGAGGUGACCAAAAGGGCCCGUCUGUUUGCUGACUGUUAACUGAAAAAGGACAGAGUCUCCAAGGAAAAACUACGAUUGUCUCCCGACACUAGUUUGUUACCUGAGUCCUAAUUUAAGCCCUGAAAGAAUUCAGCUGUCUCCAGGAAGAGUUAAACUAAUCCAGGAGUUUCCUGGACCCACAGCUGA